Molecule: ribosomal RNA, 915 nt
Filed under: uncultured archaeon
Lineage: Archaea
Description: bacterial SSU rRNA
Rfam family: Archaeal small subunit ribosomal RNA
Source: RNAcentral
GUUCUUGGGGUUGACUAGACUGCUAGUCGAGCGCCUCCCAGCCACGACGGAGGCGCGGCGCACAGCUCAGUAACGCGUGGCUAACCUGCCCUCGGGACGGGAAUACCCCCGGGAAACUGGGGCUAAUCCCCGAUAGGCGAAGAACUCUGGAAUGAGUCUCCACCCAAAAGACACUUACGCUAUGCUCGUAGGCGGCGCCCAAGGAUGGGGCCGCGACCGAUCAGGUUGUUGGCGAGGCAAUGGCUCACCAAGCCUUUUACCGGUGCGGGCCGUGGGAGCGGGAGCCCGGAGAUGGGCACUGAGACAAGGGCCCAGGCCCUACGGGGCGCAGCAGUCGCGAAAACUUUGCAAUACACGAAAGUGUGACAGGGCUAUCCCGAGUGCCAUCCGCUGAGGAAGGCUUUUACCCAGUUUAGAACGCUGGGAGAAUAAGGAGAGGGCAAGACUGGUGUCAGCCGCCGCGGUAAUACCAGCUCUCCGAGUGGUGUGGAUGUUUAUUGGGCCUAAAGCAUCCGUAGCUGGCUGGGCAAGUCCCCUGUUAAAUCCACCGAUUUAAUCGUUGGAGUGCGGGGGAUACUGCUCGGCUAGGGGACGGGAGAGGCAGACGGUAUUUUCGGGGUAGGGGUGAAAUCCUAUAAUCCCGGGAAGACCACCAGUGGCGAAGGCUGUCUGCUAGAACGUGCCCGACGGUGAGGGAUGAAAGCUGGGGGAGCGAACCGGAUUAGAUACCCGGGUAGUCCCAGCUGUAAACGAUGCAGGCUAGGUGUUUGGGCGGCCACGUGCCGCUCUAGUGCCGCAGGGAAGCCGUUAAGCCUGCCGCCUGGGGAGUACGGCCGCAAGGCUGAACUUAAAGGAAUUGGCGGGGGAGCACCACAAGGGGUGAAGCUUGCGGUUUAAUUGGAGUCAACGCCCGGA